AGAGUUUGAUCCUGGCUCAGGAUGAACGCUAGCGGCAGGCUUAAUACAUGCAAGUCGAGGGGCAGCACAGGGUAGCAAUACCUGGGUGGCGACCGGCAAACGGGUGCGGAACACGUACAGAACCUACCUUCGAGCGGGGGAUAGCCCAGAGAAAUUUGGAUUAAUACCCCAUAGUAUAUUUGGAUGGCAUCAUUUGAAUAUUAAAGAUUUAUCACCUGAAGAUGGCUGUGCGUAUGAUUAGGUAGUUGGCGGGGUAACGGCCCACCAAGCCUACGAUCAUUAACUGGUGUGAGAGCACGACCAGUCACACGGGCACUGAGACACGGGCCCGACUCCUACGGGAGGCAGCAGUAAGGAAUAUUGGUCAAUGGACGCAAGUCUGAACCAGCCAUGCCGCGUGGAGGAUGAAGGUCCUCUGGAUUGUAAACUUCUUUUAUCUGGGACGAAAAAAGGGAAUUCUUUCUCGUCUGACGGUACCAGAUGAAUAAGCACCGGCUAACUCCGUGCCAGCAGCCGCGGUAAUACGGAGGGUGCAAGCGUUAUCCGGAUUCACUGGGUUUAAAGGGUGCGUAGGCGGGUAUGUAAGUCCGUGGUGAAAUCUCCGAGCUUAACUCGGAAACUGCCAUGGGUACUGCGUAUCUUGAAUGUUGUGGAGGUGAGCGGAAUAUGUCAUGUAGCGGUGAAAUGCUUAGAUAUGACAUAGAACACCAAUUGCGAAGGCAGCUCACUACACAAAUAUUGACGCUGAGGCACGAAAGCGUGGGGAUCAAACAGGAUUAGAUACCCUGGUAGUCCACGCC
Molecule: ribosomal RNA, 800 nt
Filed under: uncultured bacterium
Lineage: Bacteria
Description: bacterial SSU rRNA
Rfam family: Bacterial small subunit ribosomal RNA
Source: RNAcentral